AAUAUACUUAUACAAUACAUUUUUGUUUUGGACUCCUACGGAGACUCCUAAAAAUUCAGAAAUGCAAGGUCAAACCCUGAGUGCUUUUAGGCAGACAAACGUGACUCAUAAAUUUGUGAUGGCAUCUGCAAGGAUUGGGAAAUGCUCUGGAGUUAUGAAUAAUACACUGGUAACAGAGUUGGGAUGGAUAGGUAACAGAUGAGCUCUGAAAAAAAAUAUUUCUGUGCUUCCUCAGAGAUCAGCAUGUCUUGGACAUUUGUGUUUUGGUUAUUUAUCAGGGUAUAAUGAAGAGACAGAUAUGAGGAUUCUCUCUAGAAAUGGAUGAGGAAGGAUCCCCUGAACAGUGAGGGAGGAUAUACUAUUGAAAACUUUCUUUCAAAUACAUACUGACUUUAAAAAUAGGGUCUUCUAUUACCAUGACUACGUAUCACAGCCUUUUGCAUACUGCUAAUUGCAAUGUCAGGAUUUUAGCUUUAUUCACAGGAUACCGAUGGAGAUAUUUUGCUCAAAUUAAAACAAAAAUAAGGUAGAAAUUAAUCCAUAAAGAAGCAGUGCUUCCAUCUGAGGAGUCAUUUGGUACCUUUGGUUGGCAAAAUUGCUGAGCCAAGUAAGCAAAUGAGCAAGCUUGUUGCCCAGGAAGUUAAAGAUGGAAAUAUUCACAAUUUGUGCAUUCCUGUCAGGAACCUUUGGACUGGGAUCAGUUUCUUGUGAGAAAUCUUCGCACCAAAGCUUCAGCUGGAACUGAGGAAACAUAAUGUAUUUAAUUGAUUAGGAUUUUACUGGAUAACCAGCAGUGGUGAGACCUCUAACUACCAUGAAUAAAUGUGAUUAGAUGCUAAAAAAUUACCAGAUUUUCAUUAAUCAGACUUUAUGUCCAAAUGCAAUUUCCAGAAAGUAAAAUCUUAUUUCCUUU
Molecule: long non-coding RNA, 913 nt
Organism: Oenanthe melanoleuca
Lineage: Eukaryota; Metazoa; Chordata; Aves; Passeriformes; Muscicapidae
Exons: 5
Source: RefSeq, a predicted model, not a curated record